Molecule: ribosomal RNA, 658 nt
Filed under: Eumonhystera sp.
Lineage: Eukaryota; Metazoa; Nematoda; Chromadorea; Monhysterida; Monhysteridae
Description: bacterial SSU rRNA
Rfam family: Eukaryotic small subunit ribosomal RNA
Source: RNAcentral
UACNAUAGCCGUUGUUUCUUGGAUCUCCNAAUACUACAUGGAUAACUGUGGUAAUUCUAGAGCUAAUACAUGCGUACAUGCAUCAACUGGUUUCAGCCGGGCGAUGUGCAUUUAUUGGUACAGAACCAUCCGGCUUCGGCCGUUCAUUGGUGAAUCUAAAUAACUGAGCGGAGCACACACUCUUGCAGUGGUGCCAGUUCUUUCAAGUGUCUACCUUAUCAACUUCCGACGGUAGUUUAUGUGCCUACCGUGGUUGUAACGGGUAACGGAGAAUCAGGGUUUGACUCCGGAGAGGGAGCCUGAGAAACGGCUACCACUUCUAAGGAAGGCAGCAGGCGCGCAAAUUACCCAUUCUCAGCACGAGGAGGUAGUGACGAGAAAUAGCAAGGCGGUGCCCAACGGGUGCCGUCAUUGCAAUGAGUACAAUUUAAAUCCUUUAACGAGGAUCUAGUCGAGGGCAAGUCUGGUGCCAGCAGCCGCGGUAAUUCCAGCUCGGCUAGCAUAUAUCAAUGUUGCUGCUAAAAAGCUCGUAGUUGGAUCUGGCGUUUAGCGGCGGGUGCACCCAGUCGGGUGNNNCUCGUUCGCGGCGCAUUUUUCUAGUCGGUGGGCGUCGGUGUCAUUCAUUUGGCUGCCGUCGUCUGCCGACNAGUUUACUUUG